RNAcentral lists this ribosomal RNA (316 nucleotides) under Escherichia coli. Its description in RNAcentral is "partial 23S ribosomal RNA". It matches the Rfam family "Bacterial large subunit ribosomal RNA", at positions 1237 to 1555 of the family's 2925-position model. The record is from RNAcentral. Lineage: Bacteria; Pseudomonadati; Pseudomonadota; Gammaproteobacteria; Enterobacterales; Enterobacteriaceae.
CGUUCUGUAAGCCUGUGAAGGUGUGCUGUGAGGCAUGCUGGAGGUAUCAGAAGUGCGAAUGCUGACAUAAGUAACGAUAAAGCGGGUGAAAAGCCCGCUCGCCGGAAGACCAAGGGUUCCUGUCCAACGUUAAUCGGGGCAGGGUGAGUCGACCCCUAAGGCGAGGCCGAAAGGCGUAGUCGAUGGGAAACAGGUUAAUAUUCCUGUACUUGGUGUUACUGCGAAGGGGGGACGGAGAAGGCUAUGUUGGCCGGGCGACGGUUGUCCCGGUUUAAGCGUGUAGGCUGGUUUUCCAGGCAAAUCCGGAAAAUCAAGG